AACGAACGCUGGCGGCAGGCUUAACACAUGCAAGUCGAGCGCCCCGCAAGGGGAGCGGCAGACGGGUGAGUAACGCGUGGGAAACUACCCUUUGGUACGGAACAACUCCGGGAAACUGGAGCUAAUACCGUAUGUGCCCUUCGGGGGAAAGAUUUAUCGCCAUAGGAUGUGCCCGCGUAGGAUUAGCUAGUUGGCGGGGUAAUGGCCCACCAAGGCGACGAUCCUUAGCUGGUCUGAGAGGAUGAUCAGCCACACUGGGACUGAGACACGGCCCAGACUCCUACGGGAGGCAGCAGUGGGGAAUAUUGGACAAUGGGCGCAAGCCUGAUCCAGCCAUGCCGCGUGAGUGAUGAAGGCCUUAGGGUUGUAAAGCUCUUUCGCACGCGACGAUAAUGACGGUAGCGUGAGAAGAAGCCCCGGCUAACUUCGUGCCAGCAGCCGCGGUAAU
RNAcentral lists this ribosomal RNA (448 nucleotides) under uncultured bacterium. RNAcentral's name for it is "bacterial SSU rRNA". It matches the Rfam family "Bacterial small subunit ribosomal RNA", at positions 29 to 524 of the family's 1533-position model. The record is from RNAcentral.